This is a long non-coding RNA of Mustela erminea (ermine), 2282 nucleotides long. RefSeq lists it as uncharacterized. The transcript has 4 exons. Lineage: Eukaryota; Metazoa; Chordata; Mammalia; Carnivora; Mustelidae. The record is from RefSeq and is a predicted model, not a curated record.
UUAGCUUGGCUUUCCACUUGCUGAUUUCUUGGGCUUAAAUCUCCUCACCCCGGGGAAGCCCGGUGCCUUCACCUGCUGAAAAUACAGGCAAAGGCCUGCAGUCUCUGGGCGACCUUACCCCUGCCAUGUGAGUUCACAACACUCAUGGGACAGGCUUUAUGGAUGUGGAAACUGCAGCUUCCAGAAGAGCUCAGGACUCCCAGCGCGGGGCUCCUCCUCCUGCAUCACCAAGGUCCCUGGGAUAAGGUGCUGGGGAUGCAGCCGUGAACAAGACCAGCUCCCUGCCUUCAUGGUGCUGAGGAUCGAGGUCUUCUCUCUCCUCCUUUCUCACCUCUGACAUACAGACACCUGGAAACACACUGCAAAGCUCCAAAGAGAAAUGUAGCGUGUAUUGGAAAUGGCUCUUGGAUGGAUAAGAAGAGGCAAUCUCUCCUCCAACUGAAGCAAGCAGCCGGGCUGUGAGACGCUCUAUGGAGACACCUACCUGGCAGGGAACCAAGGGUGGCCUCUGACUGACGGCUCCUGAGAAACUGGAGCCUCAGUCCCCCGCCGGGAGGAACUGGAUGCUGCCAACGACUCUGUGAGUGAGCCGGUUUGCCGACCCGCCAAGCUUGACCUUGAGGGGCACCUGGCCUGCCCGACACCGUGACUGCAGCCUGUGAAUCUCAAAGCCGGAGGCUCCAGCUGGCCCCCCCUGGAUUCCUGACCUGCAGAAACUGUGAGAUAGUAAACGUUGUUUGCAAGCCUCUGAACUCUGGGACAAUUUGAUAUGUAGUAGAGGGAGGGGAUGAUAAACUGUUAAUAUAGUAGAAUAGAAUAGAAUAGAAUAGAAUAGAAUAGAAUAGAAUAGAAAAGAAUAGAUAUAAGUGCGGAAAGAAUAUAUCGACUGGUGACAAGGUGGUGCUGAGCAUGAAUAAAGGGCCCCAUACUAAAGAGUGACAGGCUGGCGUGGUGACAGUUGGUGUCUCAGGGUGGGCCGGACUCUAAAAUUCCUUGGAUCCAGUGCUCUUGGUGAAGAUUCAGCGUACUCUGCAGGUCUGUUCCAAGGGCAUCCUGCCUUGGGUCAAAUACCCCUGCUGACGGAAACGCCCAUCUUCUCGAUUACUCUAUCCCAUCUUUGGGUGUGAAAAAUAUUUGCUGCUGAGUGAAAAUCAGCAGCCCUGUGGUUUUAUCUCCCUGCUCCUGUUCCUUUCGUGGCCACAUGCCCACUCUGGUGUUUUGAGCUCCUCUCCCAGACAACCGUCUAGCCCUUCCUUGCUUGCUCUCUAUUCCCUGAGCAACCUCUCCUUUCCUUCUAGACUCUUGGCCUCAUUUGUUUCAAUGCCACUUCUAACCUUUGUGAUUGGAGACUUUCGAACUCCCCUUCCUCUACUCCUUGGGUCUCUCUCCACAGUCUCUACUCUCGCUAGUGGUCUUGGUAUUAUUCCCAUAUUACAGAGGGGCUUUAAGUGACUUUGCCUGCAUCCCUUAACUGGGACAUAGCAGGGCUGGGAUUUAAAAAUGGGCCUGCCCAGCUCUGGAAACCCAAGCUCUGUUCAAGAAAACAAGGUAUUCCAGUCCCUAUGACUGAGGAACACGUUUCACAAAAUUUAGUGGCAUAAGACAACCGUCUUUUGGGCUCAUGUAUAAAUGCAGAGAGGGCACAGCACGGAGGGCUUGCUUCCAAUCCACGGUGUCUAAAGUUUCAGCUGGAGGACUCGAAGUCUGGAGACUGUGCUCUUUGGAAGGCUCACUUGCCCCACUCUGCCCAUUGAGGCUGCCUUGAAGCUGGGGGCCUCAGUUCCUCUCCAUGUGGACAGGGUCUAUUUCUGGGCUCUUCCUUUGUAAGAGCUCUGAAUUCUCUGAUCCUCUCCUCUCUCUUGCUCUCAUUCUCUACUUGGACGAACUUGGGCUUCCUUCCAAUAUGGCGGCCCCCACAUUUGCGGGUCCAGAAAGAAGAGAGAGAACCAAGCAGACACCAUACCUGCUUUUAUGAGUUCUCUUCCAAAGGGAGCAGUAUCACAUCUGCUGGGUUGUACUUGUCAAGGCCGUCACAGGGGACUGUGUGAACCCCUGCCAAAGGAAAAUCGGCUCCCCAUUUGGAUGGAGGAGUAUCAAGGUUUGGAAAGGAAAUGUAUGACCAGACACACUGCCCUGGCUGGCUACUUUUGGACAAUGCAACCAGCCACAUAAUGGACCCUGAAGGAAUGCAUCCAGGAGAUGGGGGGCUCACCAGGGAGACUUUGUCCCAAUCUUUCUAAUGCUUGGACCCAACAAAUGGAGACACACAUCAUGUUUGUUGA